Molecule: ribosomal RNA, 253 nt
Filed under: uncultured bacterium
Lineage: Bacteria
Description: partial 16S ribosomal RNA
Rfam family: Bacterial small subunit ribosomal RNA
Source: RNAcentral
UACGUAGGUGGCAAGCGUUGUCCGGAAUUAUUGGGCGUAAAGCGCGCGCAGGUGGUCCUUUAAGUCUGAUGUGAAAUCCCACGGCUCAACCGUGGAACUGCUUGGUAUACUGCGGGUCUUGAGCCAUCUAGGGGCAACCGGAACAAACGGUGGAGCGGUGAAAUGCGUAGAUAUCGUUUUGAACGCCAAUGGUGAAAACAGGUUGCUGGGGAUGUGCUGACGCUGAGACACGAAAGCCAGGGGAGCAAACGGG